GAGCCCGCGCCCCCCCAGACCCCGAGAGCCCGCAGCUCCGGCCCGGCGGCGAUGGCGCGGAGCGUGCGCGUGCUGGUGGACAUGGACGGCGUCCUGGCCGACUUCGAGGCCGGCCUCCUGCGGGGCUUCCGCCGCCGCUUCCCUGAGGAGCCGCACGUGCCGCUGGAGCAGCGCCGCGGCUUCCUGGCCCGCGAGCAGUACCGCGCCCUGCGGCCUGACCUGGCGGAUAAAGUGGCCAGUGUGUACGAAGCCCCGGGCUUUUUCCUGGACCUGGAGCCCAUCCCGGGAGCCUUGGACGCUGUGCGGGAGAUGAACGACCUACCGGAGUAAGGAGAGAGGGGGGCGGGCGGAGUCCUGGGCGGGCUCCUGGCUCCCGGCGGUAACGGCGUCCUUCUCCGCAGCACGCAGGUCUUCAUCUGCACCAGCCCCCUGCUGAAGUACCACCACUGUGUGGGUGAGAAGUACCGCUGGGUGGAGCAGCACCUGGGGCCCCAGUUCGUAGAACGAAUUAUCCUGACAAGGGACAAGACGGUGGUCUUGGGGGACCUGCUCAUUGAUGACAAGGACACAAUUCGAGGCCAGGAGGAGACCCCAAGCUGGGAGCACAUCUUGUUCACCUGCUGCCACAAUCGGCACCUGGUCCUGCCCC
Molecule: small RNA, 649 nt
Filed under: Pan troglodytes (chimpanzee)
Lineage: Eukaryota; Metazoa; Chordata; Mammalia; Primates; Hominidae
Description: retained intron
Source: RNAcentral